Molecule: ribosomal RNA, 490 nt
Filed under: uncultured bacterium
Lineage: Bacteria
Description: partial 16S ribosomal RNA
Rfam family: Bacterial small subunit ribosomal RNA
Source: RNAcentral
GAUGAACGCUAGCUACAGGCUUAACACAUGCAAGUCGAGGGGCAGCAUGGUCUUAGCUUGCUAAGGCCGAUGGCGACCGGCGCACGGGUGAGUAACACGUAUCCAACCUGCCGUCUACUCUUGGACAGCCUUCUGAAAGGAAGAUUAAUACAAGAUGGCAUCAUGAGUCCGCAUGUUCACAUGAUUAAAGGUAUUCCGGUAGACGAUGGGGAUGCGUUCCAUUAGAUAGUAGGCGGGGUAACGGCCCACCUAGUCUUCGAUGGAUAGGGGUUCUGAGAGGCAGGUCCCCCACAUUGGAACUGAGACACGGUCCAAACUCCUACGGGAGGCAGCAGUGAGGAAUAUUGGUCAAUGGGCGAGAGCCUGAACCAGCCAAGUAGCGUGAAGGAUGACUGCCCUAUGGGUUGUAAACUUCUUUUAUAAAGGAAUAAAGUCGGGUAUGGAUACCCGUUUGCAUGUACUUUAUGAAUAAGGAUCGGCUAACUCCGUG